GACGAACGCUGGCGGCGUGCUUAACACAUGCAAGUCGAACGGAAAGGCCCUGCUUUUGUGGGGUGCUCGAGUGGCGAACGGGUGAGUAACACGUGAGUAACCUGCCCUUGACUUUGGGAUAACUUCAGGAAACUAGGGCUAAUACCGGAUAGGAGCUCCUGCUGCAUGGUGGGGGUUGGAAAGUUUCGGCGGUUGGGGAUGGACUCGCGGCUUAUCAGCUUGUUGGUGGGGUAGUGGCUUACCAAGGCUUUGACGGGUAGCCGGCCUGAGAGGGUGACCGGCCACAUUGGGACUGAGAUACGGCCCAGACUCCUACGGGAGGCAGCAGUGGGGAAUAUUGCACAAUGGGCGGAAGCCUGAUGCAGCAACGCCGCGUGCGGGAUGACGGCCUUCGGGUUGUAAACCGCUUUCGCCUGUGACGAAGCGUGAGUGACGGUAAUGGGUAAAGAAGCACCGGCUAACUACGUGCCAGCAGCCGCGGUGAUACGUAGGGUGCGAGCGUUGUCCGGAUUUAUUGGGCGUAAAGGGCUCGUAGGUGGUUGAUCGCGUCGGAAGUGUAAUCUUGGGGCUUAACCCUGAGCGUGCUUUCGAUACGGGUUGACUUGAGGAAGGUAGGGGAGAAUGGAAUUCCUGGUGGAGCGGUGGAAUGCGCAGAUAUCAGGAGGAACACCAGUGGCGAAGGCGGUUCUCUGGGCCUUUCCUGACGCUGAGGAGCGAAAGCGUGGGGAGCGAACAGGCUUAGAUACCCUGGUAGUCCACGCUGUAAACGGUGGGUACUAGGUGUGGGGUCCAUUCCACGGGUUCCGUGCCGUAGCUAACGCUUUAAGUACCCCGCCUGGGGAGUACGGCCGCAAGGCUAAAACUCAAAGGAAUUGACGGGGCCCCGCACAAGCGGCGGAGCAUGCGGAUUAAUUCGAUGCAACGCGUAGAACCUUACCUGGGUUUGACAUGGAUCGGGAGUGCUCAGAGAUGGGUGUGCCUCUUUUGGGGUCGGUUCACAGGUGGUGCAUGGCUGUCGUCAGCUCGUGUCGUGAGAUGUUGGGUUAAGUCCCGCAACGAGCGCAACCCUUGUUCACUGUUGCCAGCACGUUAUGGUGGGGACUCAGUGGAGACCGCCGGGGUCAACUCGGAGGAAGGUGGGGAUGACGUCAAGUCAUCAUGCCCCUUAUGUCCAGGGCUUCACGCAUGCUACAAUGGCUGGUACAGAGAGUGGCGAGCCUGCGAGGGUGAGCGAAUCUCGGAAAGCCGGUCUCAGUUCGGAUUGGGGUCUGCAACUCGACCUCAUGAAGUCGGAGUCGCUAGUAAUCGCAGAUCAGCAACGCUGCGGUGAAUACGUUCCCGGGGCU
RNAcentral lists this ribosomal RNA (1346 nucleotides) under uncultured bacterium. Its description in RNAcentral is "partial 16S ribosomal RNA". It matches the Rfam family "Bacterial small subunit ribosomal RNA", at positions 28 to 1381 of the family's 1533-position model. The record is from RNAcentral.